Molecule: ribosomal RNA, 244 nt
Filed under: Escherichia coli
Lineage: Bacteria; Pseudomonadati; Pseudomonadota; Gammaproteobacteria; Enterobacterales; Enterobacteriaceae
Description: partial 23S ribosomal RNA
Rfam family: Bacterial large subunit ribosomal RNA
Source: RNAcentral
AUGGGUCAGCGACUUAUAUUCUGUAGCAAGGUUAACCGAAUAGGGGAGCCGAAGGGAAACCGAGUCUUAACUGGGCGUUAAGUUGCAGGGUAUAGACCCGAAACCCGGUGAUCUAGCCAUGGGCAGGUUGAAGGUUGGGUAACACUAACUGGAGGACCGAACCGACUAAUGUUGAAAAAUUAGCGGAUGACUUGUGGCUGGGGGUGAAAGGCCAAUCAAACCGGGAGAUAGCUGGUUCUCCCCG